CCUACGGGAGACAGCAGUGAGGAAUAUUGGUCAAUGGACGCAAGUCUGAACCAGCCAUGCCGCGUGCAGGAAGACGGCUCUAUGAGUUGUAAACUGCUUUUGUACGAGGGUAAACGCAGAUACGCGUAUCUGUCUGAAAGUAUCGUACGAAUAAGGAUCGGCUAACUCCGUGCCAGCAGCCGCGGUAAUACGGAGGAUUCAAGCGUUAUACGGAUUUAUUGGGUUUAAAGGGUGCGUAGGCGGUCGGAUAAGUUAGAGGUGAAAUCCCGAGGCUCAACUUCGGAAUUGCCUCUGAUACUGUUCGGCGAGAGAGUAGUUGCGGUAGGCGGAAUGUAUGGUGUAGCGGUGAAAUGCUUAGAGAUCAUACAGAACACCGAUUGCGAAGGCAGCUUACCAAGCUACUUCUGACGUUGAGGCACGAAAGCGUGGGGAGCAAACAGGAUUAGAUACCCGUGUAGUC
Molecule: ribosomal RNA, 460 nt
Filed under: uncultured bacterium
Lineage: Bacteria
Description: partial 16S ribosomal RNA
Rfam family: Bacterial small subunit ribosomal RNA
Source: RNAcentral